Molecule: ribosomal RNA, 755 nt
Filed under: uncultured bacterium
Lineage: Bacteria
Description: bacterial SSU rRNA
Rfam family: Bacterial small subunit ribosomal RNA
Source: RNAcentral
AGAGUUUGAUCAUGGCUCAGAAUCAACGCUGGCGGCGCGCUUAACACAUGCAAGUCGAACGGGAAAGUGGAGCAAUCCAUGAGUAUAGUGGCGUACGGGUGAGUAACACGUGGGUAUCUAACUCUUAGUGGGGAAUAACGCUGGGAAACCGGCGCUAAUACCGCAUAAGCUCGAGAGAGGAAAGCAGCAAUGCGCUGAGAGAGGAGCCCGCGGCCGAUUAGCUAGUUGGCAGGGUAAAGGCCUACCAAGGCAGAGAUCGGUAGCCGGCCUGAGAGGGCACACGGCCACACUGGCACUGAAACACGGGCCAGACUCCUACGGGAGGCAGCAGUGGGGAAUCUUGCACAAUGGGGGCAACCCUGAUGCAGCGACGCCGCGUGAGCGAUGAAGCCCUUCGGGGUGUAAAGCUCUUUCGUCAGGGAAGAUAAUGACGGUACCUGGAGAAGCAGCUGCGGCUAACUACGUGCCAGCAGCCGCGGUAAUACGUAGGCAGCGAGCGUUGUUCGGAGUUACUGGGCGUAAAGGGUGUGUAGGCGGUUCUUUAAGUUUGGUGUGAAAUCUCCCGGCUCAACCGGGAGGGUGCGCCGAAUACUGAGGGACUAGAGUACGGGAGAGGAAAGUGGAAUUCCUGGUGUAGCGGUGAAAUGCGUAGAUAUCAGGAGGAACACCGGUGGUGUAGACGGCUUUCUGGACCGUAACUGACGCUGAGACACGAAAGCGUGGGUAGCAAACAGGAUUAGAUACCCUAGUAGUCC